RNAcentral lists this ribosomal RNA (803 nucleotides) under Bacillus sp. CD3-1a. RNAcentral describes it as "bacterial SSU rRNA". It matches the Rfam family "Bacterial small subunit ribosomal RNA", at positions 1 to 783 of the family's 1533-position model. The record is from RNAcentral. Lineage: Bacteria; Bacillati; Bacillota; Bacilli; Caryophanales; Bacillaceae.
UUUAUUGGAGAGUUUGAUCCUGGCUCAGGAUGAACGCUGGCGGCGUGCCUAAUACAUGCAAGUCGAGCGAAUGGAUUAAGAGCUUGCUCUUAUGAAGUUAGCGGCGGACGGGUGAGUAACACGUGGGUAACCUGCCCAUAAGACUGGGAUAACUCCGGGAAACCGGGGCUAAUACCGGAUAACAUUUUGAACCGCAUGGUUCGAAAUUGAAAGGCGGCUUCGGCUGUCACUUAUGGAUGGACCCGCGUCGCAUUAGCUAGUUGGUGAGGUAACGGCUCACCAAGGCAACGAUGCGUAGCCGACCUGAGAGGGUGAUCGGCCACACUGGGACUGAGACACGGCCCAGACUCCUACGGGAGGCAGCAGUAGGGAAUCUUCCGCAAUGGACGAAAGUCUGACGGAGCAACGCCGCGUGAGUGAUGAAGGCUUUCGGGUCGUAAAACUCUGUUGUUAGGGAAGAACAAGUGCUAGUUGAAUAAGCUGGCACCUUGACGGUACCUAACCAGAAAGCCACGGCUAACUACGUGCCAGCAGCCGCGGUAAUACGUAGGUGGCAAGCGUUAUCCGGAAUUAUUGGGCGUAAAGCGCGCGCAGGUGGUUUCUUAAGUCUGAUGUGAAAGCCCACGGCUCAACCGUGGAGGGUCAUUGGAAACUGGGAGACUUGAGUGCAGAAGAGGAAAGUGGAAUUCCAUGUGUAGCGGUGAAAUGCGUAGAGAUAUGGAGGAACACCAGUGGCGAAGGCGACUUUCUGGUCUGUAACUGACACUGAGGCGCGAAAGCGUGGGGAGCAAACAGGAUUAGAU